AGUCCUAUAGCUCAGUGGUAGAGCAAUGUACUUAUGGGAUGCAUGGGCCGCGAGUUCAACCCUCGCUAGGACUA
Molecule: transfer RNA, 74 nt
Filed under: Rhizoctonia solani AG-1 IB
Lineage: Eukaryota; Fungi; Basidiomycota; Agaricomycetes; Cantharellales; Ceratobasidiaceae
Description: tRNA-Ile
Rfam family: tRNA
About the family: Transfer RNA (tRNA) molecules are approximately 80 nucleotides in length. Their secondary structure includes four short double-helical elements and three loops (D, anti-codon, and T loops). Further hydrogen bonds mediate the characteristic L-shaped molecular structure. tRNAs have two regions of fundamental functional importance: the anti-codon, which is responsible for specific mRNA codon recognition, and the 3' end, to which the tRNAs corresponding amino acid is attached (by aminoacyl-tRNA synthetases). tRNAs cope with the degeneracy of the genetic code in two manners: having more than one tRNA (with a specific anti-codon) for a particular amino acid; and 'wobble' base-pairing, i.e. permitting non-standard base-pairing at the 3rd anti-codon position.
Source: RNAcentral